AUGAAACUUUUUUGGCAAAAAUCAAUCCAUGGUUCUUAAAAGAAAUAUAUGGAGAAAGUGUGUGAAAGGGUCAUCAUAACGACCCUUCAUAAUCUACACCUUCAACAGUUUGCUUAAGCUUAGCCAUUGGCUUUCUCUGAUCAUUGAUCACAAGGAAUAUGGAGAAUCAAAAGCUAUCUUGUAAAGAGGUAUUAGUACUCCAUAGGAAGAGAAGCUUUGGCUAUAGCUUGGUAAACCGGCAAGUCACAAAAAGGCGACGGACUCCGUUAGGCGUCCU
Molecule: small RNA, 277 nt
Filed under: Cicer arietinum (chickpea)
Lineage: Eukaryota; Viridiplantae; Streptophyta; Magnoliopsida; Fabales; Fabaceae
Description: Early nodulin 40
Rfam family: Early nodulin 40
Source: Rfam by way of RNAcentral